RNAcentral lists this ribosomal RNA (643 nucleotides) under uncultured bacterium. RNAcentral's name for it is "bacterial SSU rRNA". It matches the Rfam family "Bacterial small subunit ribosomal RNA", at positions 544 to 1179 of the family's 1533-position model. The record is from RNAcentral.
UCCGGAUUUAUUGGGCGUAAAGGGCUCGUAGGCGGCUCGUCGCGUCCGGUGUGAAAGUCCAUCGCUUAACGGUGGAUCUGCGCCGGGUACGGGCGGGCUGGAGUGCGGUAGGGGAGACUGGAAUUCCCGGUGUAACGGUGGAAUGUGUAGAUAUCGGGAAGAACACCGAUGGCGAAGGCAGGUCUCUGGGCCGUCACUGACGCUGAGGAGCGAAAGCGUGGGGAGCGAACAGGAUUAGAUACCCUGGUAGUCCACGCCGUAAACGGUGGACGCUGGAUGUGGGGCACGUUCCACGUGUUCCGUGUCGGAGCUAACGCGUUAAGCGUCCCGCCUGGGGAGUACGGCCGCAAGGCUAAAACUCAAAGAAAUUGACGGGGGCCCGCACAAGCGGCGGAGCAUGCGGAUUAAUUCGAUGCAACGCGAAGAACCUUACCUGGGCUUGACAUGUUCCCGACGACGCCAGAGAUGGCGUUUCCCUUCGGGGCGGGUUCACAGGUGGUGCAUGGUCGUCGUCAGCUCGUGUCGUGAGAUGUUGGGUUAAGUCCCGCAACGAACGCAACCCUCGCCCCCGUGUUGCCAGCACCGUUAUGGUGGGGAACUCACCGGGGGGACCGCCGGGGGUUAACUCGGAGAACGGUGGGGA